Molecule: non-coding RNA, 3897 nt
Organism: Durio zibethinus
Lineage: Eukaryota; Viridiplantae; Streptophyta; Magnoliopsida; Malvales; Malvaceae
Source: RefSeq, a predicted model, not a curated record
GUGUCAACGCGUCAGACUGAGCUGGUCCACUCCUACGUGGCAAAUUCCACAGGUCCAAACUCCUCUUAAAGAUUUGAUCACAGCCGUCCGAAUCAUCCAAUAGAAGCCGACAUUUGCCCCUUCAAGUUCAACCUUUGUCUUGACCGUUUGUGGAAGUUAAAGAGUGAGAAACAAAAACAUUAGUCUUCCUUUAGCACAAGAGAGAGAAAGAAAGAAAAGAAAGUCUUCAUAUUUUUUGGCUUCUAAACAGCCACAGCUUCUGCUGCUGAUUUGAUUGUUUAGAGGGGUUUUUUCCCCACUGAUGUUCCAGAAUUGAGAUUGUGGUAUGUAUAACAGUUUCAGAUCAAAUGCCAUCUCUAAGAAUGAAGACCAAUUCAAGCACGGGUUCGUUAAGAGAAAAAAAUGGUCUCCACGUGUGUCAGAAGUCUAGUAUGAUUUGCAAAAGACCGUGCCGCCAUGUCAGGGUUUCUCAGCAAGGAGAUGAAUCCAGUAAAUGUAUUCAAAAUUCUUAUGAUGAUUCAUCAAAUGUAGAAGUGGCCUCACAAGUUUUUGAAACUUAUGAAGCCAGUGCUCAGCAACCAAUUUUGGAGGAAGACGAUUCUCAGCUUCAGAAAGAGCUUCCAGUUUUUGUUAAUUCUGCAACUGUGGGGAGAAUGGAAUCUUCCCACACCUGUGCGUCAAACUUAGAGACAAUAUUCUCUCCUUUUUUGGAGCCAAUUCAAAUCCACAGUGAACAAAAUAUUGACAAUGAUGCAGGGAGUAAUGAUGGCCCUGAAGUGCCAGCAUUAGGGGCUGAUGACAGUGAUGAUAACAAAAGCUCAUUUGGUAGUCAAACUUGUAAUUUAUCUGAUUUCUUUAUAUCUGACAUGAUAAUUGCAAGCAUACCCUUCGGUGGAAAUGCUGUUGAUGAUAAUAUCUUCGAGGCCAAUUCCUUUCCUGAUUUCAAGUGUUCUGAGUCAAGUAUGUUGUUUGAUGCGGCUGAGCAAUACAUGAUAUUACCUUUCCUUGAGGACACUGUCAAAGCCAAUGAUAUAAAUGAUGUUAAUUUGCAUGAGGAAGCCAUGAUGGUUCAAGACAAUACUGGUUUAUGUCUAGCAAUUGAUCAGAUGAGAUCCUGCAUACAGGAAACUGAUGUUAACUCUGACUUUGAUCCGCAAUCGUUUAUUAAAAAUUUACCAGAACUAUCUGAUGUUGUAUCAAGCUUUCGGCCUGUUAUGGUUCCAAAGGAGGCUUGGAGAAGGCAGGCCAUAACACUUGUGCUUGAUUUAGAUGAAACUCUUGUCCAUUCUACACUAGAAUACUGUGAUGAUGCUGACUUCACCUUUACAGUCUUUUUCAACAUGAAAGAACACAACGUGUAUGUAAAGCAGAGGCCUCACCUCCAGAAAUUUUUGAAGAAAGUUGCAGAGAUGUUUGAAGUUGUCAUCUUUACUGCAAGCCAAAGCAUUUAUGCAGAACAACUACUGGACAUAUUGGAUCCAGAUAGAAAGUUCAUAUCUCGGCGGUUUUAUUGUGAAUCAUGCAUUUUUUCAGAUGGAAGUUACACUAAAGAUUUGACGGUUUUAGGGGUUGAUCUAGCUAGAGUUGCUAUAAUUGAUAAUUCUCCUCAGGUUUUCAGGUUGCAAGAGAAUAAUGGUAUCCCUAUUAAGAGUUGGUUUGCUGAUACAUCUGAUUGUGCACUAAUUUCAUUACUUCCCUUCUUACAGACUCUGGUUGAUACUGAUGAUGUCCGUCCUAUCAUUGCCAAGAAAUUUGGAUCAGAAGAUGAUGUUAGGAACUCAAACUGCUAGACUGCUAUGCUUCAAAUAAAGUAAUGGAAAGACGAUUGUAGUAGUGACUCCUUGCCGUUGGAAAGGAGAAAUCAGUGAUAAAGCAUCUUCUUUGCUGGUAAUAAUGUUUCCUUACUCCGAGGAAGAUGGUGAAUUCCAAGUUUAACUUUUUCUUCUAUAAGAUUUUCUCCUCUAACUCAUAGAUAGGCUUAGGUGUAGAUCAAGUAUCCCAAGCCUCCCCUAUCGCUAAGUCACUGUUGUCAAGGUGUGCGCUUAGGUGCCCCUAGGCACUGCACCUUAGUGCCACACAAGAAAAGCUCCUCAAACUAGGGUGCAAAUGAAAAAUCAAUGCUCGUAAGUUAUUCGAGCUCAAAUUAGAUAAAACUCAAAUUCAACUUGGUCACUGUCAAGUUGAGCUCUAGCUCGAGUAGCUCAACUUAGUAAGUGAGCCGAGUUCGAGCUUCCUAAUGCUCGGCUUAAGUAGCUCAUAAGCCUAAUCGAGCUUUUAAAUUUUAAUAUAUUUUAGUAUUUUAAUUUAAAAAUUAUUAUUUUAUCCUUGAAAUCGAGUAUGAGAAGUGAGUUCAUUUUUUAUUAAACAAGCUUAAUUAAGUAAGCUCAAGUAGCUUAAUUUUUAUUUCAAGUUGAGCUGGAGCUUGAAAAUUAAAAUUCGAUUGAGCUCGAACCGAGUUUUGAGCAGUGAGUUUUAAGUCAAGCUCGAGUUUCUCACUGUAUCAAUUCGACAUAGCUCGAUUACACCCCUCCCUCGAACCCUUUCAAGUGAGGAGCAUUUGAUCAGGCACAUUCCUGGUGCAUCUAGGUGCACAUUUCUGUAAGGCGAUAGGCACAAAAAGGCUGGCCUGAUUGAAGUUCUCUUGCAUUUCUUUUUUUUUUUUUUUUCAUGAACUUUACCUUUAAUAGUAAAAAAGGACAAUAUCAAACUCUCUACUUAGAGAAACGUUACCUGAGCUUUAGAUCACUGAAUUUUAUGGUAGAAGAGUGGGUCAUUAUUGCAAAGAUAGAAGUCUUUUCUGAUUAGGCAGGUGAUUCAUAACUGAUUCAUACAUAUACGUUGCUGAUACUUAUGUUGUUUAAUACAUGAUCCUAAUGCAUUGAUUUCAUGCUUGUGCAUGUGAUAAUAUAUGUAAAACAUCUAGACUGCCAAAGUAUCUCCAUGUAUUAUCACUGUAAAGUGCAUCGUAUUGGAAUUAGUGACAUCUUUAAGAAGUGAUUGAGAGAUUUGAGGUAAGAUGGAAAUAUAGCCUUAGAGCCUUCGAGUAAACUAUGUUGUUUCUGAGAAGAUUUAGGUUUUGUGAUACUUGAGAUACGAGAGGAUUAGUGAUAUAUGGUAUCCAAUUAGGUUAUUUACUCAACCUGCUUAUGCAACACUUAGACCUGUGCCAUAAAUGACAGGUUGCACCAGGUUGUGUGCAAGAAUCUAGAUAGAAAAACUUAAGAUAGGAAUGGACCCGAAGCCAGAAACAAUGAGAUAAUCUGGGGUUCGACGGCGCAAGAUUUUUCUCAAUGGGAGCUACCUCCUGGUUAGGUGGCUCCUUCAGCUUGGGUUAGUGGUUAUAAGCAGAUUAUGGGGUGAAGAUCAUAUUGCCUCCUGCAAAGUUGGAGAAUUCAGGAGAAAAAGUUAGCUACACUACUUGUCAUAACAUCUGUUGAAUCCUUCGAUAAUCUUUACAGUUUUACAAUUUUGAAUGCCUUACCUGCAGGUCUUAUGAUGAACAAUACUAGAUUAUCUGCUAAUGGCAAAAUAAUAGUGACAAUAACAACAAAUUGAGUGAUGGAUGUAAUUUUGAGAUGAUAAAGAUAAUUGUAAUUUAUAUUUUCAUGUUAUUUUGUCUCCAAAAUCCCUGUCUAUGUAUAGGGUAGGAGGUGACUUAGUUCUGCUUUUAGAGGUUAGCACAGUUAUUUGGUAUGCUUUGAACUGUGGAAACGUUUCACUCAACUGCUAAUUUUUUUAUGAAAAUGUAUAUUUUAAGUUAUUUUGUACCAAAUUACAUUUGGUAUUUGAAUUCUUGUAAUUUCUUCACUACCACUUCAUAUUUAUUAAUGCUCUGAUCGAGUUUGUCUUUGUAUGUUUAAUUUUAGUUGCAUUUUGGGUCUCAUUAUCAAACAAAUU